GUGGAAUCAUCCCCGGAGGAAGAGGCCCCUCCUCAAUCAUUUCCCACACGAAAACAAUUAAAAUACACAAACCAAAACAGCCCCUCUUAAUACUGACUAAUAUAUUAGGCUUACUCAUUAGUCUCCUCAUUAAUGCUGGUUAAUCUUCUUUCUCGCUACACACGCCUUCUUCCCCUCCUUCCCAAUUUCAGUGUGCAAGGAGAGACAUGAGUCUUAGAAAUUCGCAUUUUAAUGUCAAAAGGACUGUUACUUUUCGAUUGUGCAAUGUGUCCAGGUAUUUUUUUUGGUAUUUUGAUAGUUUUCUUGGCUAUGGAAAUAAGGGGUUUUAUUUGUAAGUGAUGAUUUUGUGCUCAGUUACAAAACUGAGUUGCUAGAAAUUUCCUCUGAUGAUCCCAAACUUCAUGUUCUCUUUAUUCCUGGGAAUCCAGGUUAGUUAUUUUUAUGUUUAAGUGGAUGUGUGUGUUUCUUUUUUAGUUCAAUAAUGAGAAUUGUAGAUUAGGACUUAAGAAUUAUGGGUUUUGAUACAGGUGUUGUAUCAUUUUAUAAGGAUUUUUUAGAAUCACUAUAUGAGUUGCUUGGAGGGAGUGCAUCUGUUACAGGCAAAUCUUAUUCUAUUCUUUUGUUGGAUAUCCAAUUUUGAGGUUUGAUUGUUUCUCUAAUUUAUUGCUUCUUGGCAUUCCUCAACAGCUAUUGGGCAUAUAUCUCACACAAAAAAGGUACUUCCCUUUUUCCAAAAUUAGGUUAAAAUGGUGCCAGCAUUUUAUUCUUAGGAUUAUUGGUUGAAUUUCAUGUCUUUGUAUGUACAAUUUCCCUCAGGAGUAUAAAAGUGGGAGUAAAUAUUAUUUUUUAUUUUUUUAAGAACCUAUCAUUUGUUUCACAGAAUGUAUUGAAAGGAACAACAUGAAGAUAAAAUUUUGGAGAAAACAUUUGUCUUGGUGAACCAGAUAACUUUUAUGGACUUGUUUAACAGUAUGAAAGGUUUCUUGCGCAAUGCAAUUAGUUUGCAUAUAUUUUCUCUUUGGUUGACUAGUGGGAGGUAUUUCUCACAUGAAAGUUUUUUCUUCUUAGAACUGGGAGCAUGGCAGGUUAUUCUCAUUACAACAACAAAUUGAUCACAAGGUAUCAUUCUGUUUGCUUUACUGGCCGUCAGCUGAUUAAUGGCCUCGUUUUAUUAAGUAGGGACCUUAAGUAUUUUAGCAUGGGACUUUGUUAGGUUGGAAAACCUUUGCCCUCUGAGGAUAAACACUCUGGAUGAGAUAGGUUUGCUCCUUAGUCAUUACAAAAGCUUAGUGGAUCUUUUCAAUCAAUUUGCUUGAGCUUUGGCCACUGUGCUUGUAAUUCUGGUAAUAGAUUUGAGGGCUUGAAAAUGGAAUUCGACUUAAUGAGAAAUUUCCCUUGAAACAUAGAUAGAUAAUUCAAGUUGCUCGUUUAUUUCAAAAAACUUAUUUUUCUUGGGCAUGCCAACUUUAACUAUCAGUUCAACAUUUCAUCACCUUGUUAAGAACUCUUGACUUUUUUAAUUUCCUACCCAUUUCUGAAAGUAUUCUUGUUUUCAGUUUUUUUUCUUUUUUUUGGAAGAA
RNAcentral lists this unclassified non-coding RNA (1580 nucleotides) under Hevea brasiliensis (rubber tree). The record is from RNAcentral. Lineage: Eukaryota; Viridiplantae; Streptophyta; Magnoliopsida; Malpighiales; Euphorbiaceae.